AUACGUAGGUGGCAAGCGUUGUCCGGAAUUACUGGGCGUAAAGCGCGCGCAGGUGGUUCCUUAAGUCUGAUGUGAAAGCCCCCGGCUCAACCGGGGAGGGUCAUUGGAAACUGGGGAACUUGAGUGCAGAAGAGGAUAGUGGAAUUCCAAGUGUAGCGGUGAAAUGCGUAGAGAUUUGGAGGAACACCAGUGGCGAAGGCGACUGUCUGGUCUGUAACUGACACUGAGGCGCGAAAGCGUGGGGAGCAAACAGGAUUAGAUACCCUGGUAGUCCACGCCGUAAACGAUGAGUGCUAAGUGUUGGGGGGUUUCCGCCCCUCAGUGCUGCAGCUAACGCAUUAAGCACUCCGCCUGGGGAGUACGGUCGCAAGACUGAAACUCAAAGGAAUUGACGGGG
This 397-nucleotide ribosomal RNA is filed under the name uncultured bacterium. RNAcentral describes it as "partial 16S ribosomal RNA". It matches the Rfam family "Bacterial small subunit ribosomal RNA", at positions 523 to 918 of the family's 1533-position model. The record is from RNAcentral.